RNAcentral lists this long non-coding RNA (5089 nucleotides) under Sus scrofa (pig). Its description in RNAcentral is "lncRNA (ENSSSCG00005032579.1)". The record is from RNAcentral. Lineage: Eukaryota; Metazoa; Chordata; Mammalia; Artiodactyla; Suidae.
UUUUUCUUUUUUCUUCUUUGUAGGGUUGCACAGCACCCAUGGCUUAUGGAAAUUCCUGGGCUAGGGGGUCAGAUUGGAGCUGCAGCUGAUGUGUGUGCCACAGCCACAGCAAUGUGGGAUCUGAGCCACAUCUGUGACCUACACUGUAGCUCAUGGAAACAUUAGGUCCUUAACCCACAGAGCGAGGCCAGGGACUGAACCUGAAUCCUCAUGGAUACUGGUCAGGUUUGUUUCUCCUGAGCCACAACGAGAACUCCGAGGGUGACCUUUCAAACGGAAUGUGCUAGCACUUGGUCAAGUGUUUUUCAGAUAGUGAGUAUCCACGAUAUAUUUCUGGAAUCAGGAAGAGUAGCGAAGUUUCUUCAGUGUCUUUCAUCCAGGGGAUUUUAUCCCCUUUUGCCUGGAGUCCUGCUGUUCCUAUAACUGCACCUCUCCCUCCUGGGCCAUGCCAUAAUUUUUACAUGUCACAUUUUUGCCCAGAAUUCUUCAGUCACUUUCUUCUUCUUUUUUAAAUUUUUUCAUUUUCAUUUAUUUAUUUUUGCUUUUUAGGGCUGCACCUGUGGCAUAUGGAGGCUCCCAGGCUAGGGGUCAAAUCGGAGCUACAGCUGCUGGCCUAUGCCACAGCCUCAGCAACGUGGGAUCCGAGCCAUAUCUGCAACCUACACCACAGCUCAUGGCAACGCCAGAUCCUUAACCCACUGAGCAAGGCCGGGGAUCAAACCCGCAACCUAAUGGUUCCUAGUUGGAUUCGUUUCCGCUGAGCCACAAUGGGAACUCCUCUUCUUUUUUUUUUAAAUCACAGAAUAAAGUCCAAUUUCUAACAUGGCAUUUAUGUAUAGAGUGGGGAGCCACCUUUUUCCCAUCUGGAAUAGGAGGAUAGUAGUGCCAAUUUCAUAGACGCGUUGAGAAGAUUAAGUGAAUAUUGUCUUUUUCCACAAGUCUUUCCAGGCUGGCUUGCUAUGUUUCUCUCAGCAUGUCUUACUUCUUCUCAUGGCUACAUAUUUGUUUUGCCUAGGACUCUAGCCUUGGAAAUGCCUGACCAUCACCUCCCAUUUUUCAGUCCUAAAAAUUCCUUUGGGCCCUGCCAGGCUACCAAUACUCAUUCUUAUCUCUAAGAACAUCUUUAUUCUGUUCUAUACAGAGUCUCAUAGUAGACAAUAUAGCCAGUUUCCUACCCAAAUGUUAAAACCAUGCAUACAUUGCCUUCCUGGUGGCCAUAUUGCUUCCACAUGAAUAAUUUCAGUGUUGAUGAGCUAAACUUGGGCCGCUCAUCCCAUUUUUUUUUCAGCAAGUCUAAUUAAAUAACUGCAACAUGUAAUUAUCUUUUUAGUCAUGACAGUCUUGCCUUUUUAAAAUUUUCAGUUCUUCCAGAGGAACAAAGUAACUGCUGGAAAGGCACUGAUUGUAUUUAGGUCUAAAAUUAUAAUUUCACGACAUUGGUAGUUAAACCAUUGCUAUUACUUUUCUUUUCUUCCUUUACUGUUCCUUCGGGGAGAGGACUUAGCACUACAGGGCUUGUGAUUAUUAUGACAAUGACUAGAACAGAAAGAAGGCAAAGAAAACCCUCUUGGUUGAUGUCUACUGAUACUUGAACCAACUUUACUUAGACGACUUUAUACUUAAACAGUAUUUGAAUCUUUGAAAAAAAUUUGUUGCAAAACUUUUACUUGUUCUAUCCCUUUUGGUGAAUUCUUCUAGUCUUUUUAAUAUUUAUAUACAAAUAUAUCCAUAUAUAUAUAUUUGCUUUAGUUUUUAUAAAAAUUGGGGCUACACUCUAUAUGCUGCUUUGUAUUUCCUUUUUAAAAGACUGAAAAAUGUGCAAAUGACACUUUUUCAUGUCAGUAUAUAAAGACUUAAUUUUUAAUGGCUCCGUGUGGUGGCACAACUGACCUAUAUUUUUUUCUUAUUGAUCAACACAUGUUAUUUCCAGUUGAUUCUUGAAUUUGGAUUUCUUUACCAUAAAAGAUAUUAAAAAGGUAAACGACCACUACACUCCUAUUCAAAAAUUCACCCAGGGUUAAGAGUUAACUUCUGUCACCACAAAGUUUAUGUGCUGAAAUCUUAGCCUCUACUACCUUAGAAUGUGACCAUAUUAAGGAACAGGGUCAUUGUGGACACAGUAGAGAUAAGGCCAUACUGGAGUAGAGUGGACCCCCCUACUGGUGUCCUUAUAAAAAGGGAAAAUGUGGAAACAGACCACAGGGAGAACAUUAUGUGAAAAUGAAGGGAGAGAUCAGGGUGAUGCAUCUAUAGGCUGUGGAAUGCCAAAGAUUGUCAGAAACUCACCAGAAGCGAGAAGACAGGCCUAGAACAGAUUCUCUCUCUGCCCUCAGAAGGAACCUGUCUUGCCAAUACCAGACCUUGGACUUUCAGCCUCCAGGUCUGUGAUUCAAUAACCUUCUAUUGUUUAAGCCACUCAGUUUGUGGUGUUUUGUUAAGCAGUCCUAGAAAAUGAAUAUAUUCAGUUUAAAAAAAAAAAAAGGUUGUUUAGUGUUUAAGAUAAAGAAUAUUGGGGUGACAGUUCAUGAUUUUGAGUGAAGGCCUAUCUAGGGUGACUGUGUUGUGUCAUAGUGUCUAUCCAGUGAUAUGCUGUAAGACAGUAACUGUGAUACAGCACAAGGCUUCUGGGAAGUGGCUCAAACUAUAAAAAAAGAAUGUGUUGGAUGUUAGGGCAGAGACCAAGUUACUGACCAGAGAUCGGGAAUGGUGAAAAGGAAAGAAUUAUUGAGAGCUUUCCAUAGACAAGGGUGUGGUAACCUAGGCUAUGUGUUCUGGCUUUUAAUCAAAUUGGGUAAUGCAAACAAGUAAAUAAUAAUGAAUUAUCUCUAGAGAAUGUAGCCUUCCUCUACCUCCAUUAAUAUCUCCUUCAAGGAUCUAAAUCUGAGAUUUUUAGCAGCAUAUGAUAGAUGACCUGAUUUUCUGGGAAAUCUAGGGGCACAUGAUUGAAUACUGUAUGUGUUACAUCAAUGUGCAUAUUUAUGAACAUAAAUUGCUUGCAGAAAGUUAUACCAGCCAUUCUGUUUUCAAGAUAUUGGCUAGACAGAGACAGUAGAAAAGGUAAAGAUAAAGGUUCUCCUUGGAACAAAGCCUCAUUCUCAAAACCAGGGUCCAUGCUGGGGAUGCAGACUGAGAAGCUGGGCCUGCCUGGAAGUUCUAAUCAGGAUGAAGCACUGUAACAUUUAGACACAUCAAACGAAUGUUCCCCUUACCUUUAAAAUUUGUGACUCACCGUAUUGUACUCCUAUAACAUACAAUAUUGUACAGCAACUACACUUCAAUAAAAACAAAGAAAUUAAUGUCCCCCUUAUGUAGAAUUUCCUCCUCCUCUACUUAAAACUUCCUUGUUCUUCAGGGCACAUUCUGGAAUAGUCUCCUCCAUAGAGCCUUCCUUGCCCUGAGCCCCAGAGCUCUGUCAUGUCUCUGAACCAGUACACUUUUAUUUUUCAUGCUUUAUUUCCUAGGCAACUAAAUGGUAAUUACAAGACUGUGUGAUCACAUUUUACUACAGUUAGAUUUAAAACUCCACAGUGGUAGAGACUUUGCCUGCUUUAUUCACCUUGGCACACCACUGGGCACGUAGUAGGUGCUCGACAAUUUUUUUUUUUGGAUAAAGGGUUGCACAUAUAUGUAUAUUGCAACUUCUCUUCCCACUGUUAUUUGAGGUUAAAUUAUUUUUGCUGGAAAACAACUCCCCUUCUCUGUUGGCUAGAUAUGACCCAUAAACCACAGUUGCAGCCUCUGCUCUACAAGUAAUUUAUAGAACCCACAGUAAUUAUCUCUCUAUACCCCAACAGUUCUUGGCAUGAGAAUGGUAGAGAUCAGAUGGUGGCAAAUAAAUGCACAAGAACACCCAAGUCAUGUUUUGAACUACUGAGGUUUUUUCUUUUUUAUUGCAAAACAUUUGUUACAGAAAUUUCAGAAAGUUUUUCCCGUGGUAUCUGCCAACUUCUGCUUCGAAUUAUAUAUCUAAACGAACAAGCUCAAAGUGCAUUGUGAAUCCAAUAACAGACCUUUAAAAAAGAACAAUUCCUCUAAGGAUUUAUAUAUAUUUAUAAUGCUGAUAGAUAUGUAAACCGCUGUCUAUCUAUACACAAAGAAGGAAAAGAUGUGUAUACCUUUAAGAAACCCAAUUGCAAAAUUGUUUUAUUUAUAGGAAUUUGUUCAAAAAUGAUAUUUGAAUAAUCUUCCCCAUUAUAAACUAUGGUUAGAAUGUGUACAAAUGAGAAUCUAAGAUAUGUAUUAUGAAAUGGCUAUGAGUACAGUAUACUGCAUGUACUGUUUUGCACAGCAAGAGCAGCAAUAUAAACUCAGGUCAGACACUGUAGUGACAGGAAGCAGAUAAGCCUUGAUACUAUGCUAUGUUACUCUUCUUCUGAAUCUCCCUCAGAAAGACCCUACAUGUGGGUCCAGAAUGAUGCAGCUAGCAAACAUACACACACAUAUCAUUUGGGAGAAGAGAAAUAACCCUGAAUAGGGUGAGUUCCUUUCCCUCCCACCUCAAUUUUCAGUGUAUUUUGUGUAUACACUCCCUAAGUUGGAAUCAAGAAUAUGAUCCUGGUAGGCUCUGAUUCAGAGGUCCCAAACUAUUGCUUUGGGACUGAAAGCUGCUGGCAGACACAUUUGCUUGGCUAUCACAAUGUUUGCAAAUCUGAAUGUGAAUGUCUUUGUAGUAGGACAUGUGUUCUCUCCUGUCCUACAAACCCUACUUCCUCCUGUGGUCUUUUACCAGUCCAGUAGACACAUUUGUUUCUGGAUCCAGGUCCUCCACCUAUUUGAGUAUGCAACCCCAUGAUCUAGAUGCAGAUGGCCAGUGGUGAUACGUGGGGAGUUGGGGUGAAGAUAUGAGGGACUCUUUUCUUUUGGGAUUCAGACAGGCAAAGAAUGAUGAAACUGAUGCCAGCACCAGGCAAGUUAGGAGCAUGGGGCAGAGUUGAGAGGACAAAGCUAAAUUAGUGGGGAAAAUGAGGGAUGGACAGUCUGAAUGUCUGUAGCCACUGUCUUGGCUUACUGUGCCAGAGCCCAUAGGGGAUUGAGGUGAUGUGAGCAUGAGUCAAUUGGUCUGGCAAAAAAAAAAAAAAAAAAAAAAAAA